GGAAUAUUUAAACGACUCUGGUGAAAAAAGAAAAUUCAUGAACCUAAGCACAUGUGAACUUAUUACGAACACAAUUGCUCAAUUUUUUCUGUAGAAGAUAAAGUCGAGAUAAGAUCCGAGAUGAAAGAAAUUAAAAUGGGAGAUGCUUGAUACGGCUUGUUGAGGCUUCGAAGGCAAAACACGACGCGUUGAAAUAUACGAAAUAUACGUAUUGUUUUUCGACAAAAUCAUAUUUCUUCUCUGUCACGAUUCGCGAUUUAAACGAUUUUUCUUUUCCCUCGAGAGAGAAAGAGAAAAAUAGAGAUGACGUAUACGUGCAUUUGGUAUAACGUUUUAUACGGUUAUAUAUAAUGUAAUAACAUAAAACGCAAAAGAAUAUUUAACGCGAGUAAUUCUCGUCGUAAUUGUAAAUAGUGUUAACGGUUUUCUAAAUUGUUUCGUAACCGUGACGGGUUGUUAAAAUUAUAAAGAAAAAAAAAAAAAAAACUAAGGAAAAAAGAAGAAAAACUAAGAAAAUUGUGGAUGACGAUCGUAAUGUUACUCAAUGUUAUUUAUUUCAUGGUAAGAAAAGUGUGUAAAGUCGGUGUGUAAAAUAAAGUUAUUUCGAAUCACGA
Apis mellifera (honey bee) is the source of this 614-nucleotide long non-coding RNA. RefSeq lists it as uncharacterized. Lineage: Eukaryota; Metazoa; Arthropoda; Insecta; Hymenoptera; Apidae. The record is from RefSeq and is a predicted model, not a curated record. The transcript is spliced from 2 exons.